GUGGGUAGUUUGACUGGGGCGGUCUCCUCCCAAAGCGUAACGGAGGAGCACGAAGGUUAGCUAAUCCUGGUCGGACAUCAGGAGGUUAGUGCAAUGGCAUAAGCUAGCUUGACUGCGAGCGUGACGGCGCGAGCAGGUGCGAAAGCAGGUCAUAGUGAUCCGGUGGUUCUGAAUGGAAGGGCCAUCGCUCAACGGAUAAAAGGUACUCCGGGGAUAACAGGCUGAUACCGCCCAAGAGUUCAUAUCGACGGCGGUGUUUGGCACCUCGAUGUCGGCUCAUCACAUCCUGGGGCUGAAGUAGGUCCCAAGGGUAUGGCUGUUCGCCAUUUAAAGUGGUACGCGAGCUGGGUUUAGAACGUCGUGAGACAGUUCGGUCCCUAUCUGCCGUGGGCGCUGGAGAAUUGAGGGGGGCUGCUCCUAGUACGAGAGGACCGGAGUGGACGCAUCACUGGUGUUCGGGUUGUCAUGCCAAUGGCACUGCCCGGUAGCUAAAUGCGGAAGAGAUAAGUGCUGAAAGCAUCUAAGCACGAAACUUGCCCCGAGAUGAGUUCUCCCUGAGACUUUAAGUCUCCUGAAGGAACGUUAAAGACGAUGACGUUGAUAGGCCGGGUGUGUAAGCGCAGCGAUGCGUUGAGCUAACCGGUACUAAUGAACCGUGAGGC
RNAcentral lists this ribosomal RNA (662 nucleotides) under Klebsiella pneumoniae. RNAcentral's name for it is "partial 23S ribosomal RNA". It matches the Rfam family "Bacterial large subunit ribosomal RNA", at positions 2261 to 2917 of the family's 2925-position model. Lineage: Bacteria; Pseudomonadati; Pseudomonadota; Gammaproteobacteria; Enterobacterales; Enterobacteriaceae. The record is from RNAcentral.